This 468-nucleotide ribosomal RNA is filed under the name uncultured bacterium. RNAcentral's name for it is "partial 16S ribosomal RNA". It matches the Rfam family "Bacterial small subunit ribosomal RNA", at positions 28 to 507 of the family's 1533-position model. The record is from RNAcentral.
GACGAACGCUGGCGGCGUGCUUAACACAUGCAAGUCGAACGGAAAGGCGCUGCUUUUGUGGGGUGCUCGAGUGGCGAACGGGGGAGUAACACAUGAGUAAACUGCACUUGAAUUUGGGAUAACUUCAGGAAACUGGGGCUAAUACCGGGGAUAAGCUCCUGAAGCAUGGGGGGGGUUGGAGAGUGUCGGCGGUGGUGGCUGGAUUCGCGGCUUAUGGGCUGGUUGGUGGAGUAGUGGCUUACAAAGGCUUUGAAGGCUAGCCGGCCUGGGAGGGUGACCGGCGACAUGGGGCCUAAGAGACGGCGCAGAAUCCUACGGGAGGCAGUAGGCGGGAAUAUGGCACAACGGGCGGAAGCCUGAGGCAGCAACGCCGCGUUCGUGAUGACGGCUUUCGGGUUGUAAACCGCUUUCGCCUGUGACGAAGCGUGAGUGACGGUAAUGGGUAAAGAAGCACCGGCUAACUACGUG